RNAcentral lists this small nuclear RNA (18 nucleotides) under Arabidopsis thaliana (thale cress). RNAcentral's name for it is "snRNA_10603". Lineage: Eukaryota; Viridiplantae; Streptophyta; Magnoliopsida; Brassicales; Brassicaceae. The record is from RNAcentral.
CCUAGAACCCACAAAGGG